ACGUAGGGUGCGAGCGUUAAUCGGAAUUACUGGGCGUAAAGCGUGCGCAGGCGGUUCGCUAAGACAGAUGUGAAAUCCCCGGGCUCAACCUGGGAACUGCAUUUGUGACCGCACGACUGGAGUGCGGCAGAGGGGGGUGGAAUUCCACGUGUAGCAGUGAAAUGCGUAGAGAUGUGGAGGAACACCGAUGGCGAAGGCAGCCCCCUGGGAUGACACUGACGCUCAUGUACGAAAGCGUGGGUAGCAAACAG
This 251-nucleotide ribosomal RNA is filed under the name uncultured prokaryote. RNAcentral's name for it is "partial 16S ribosomal RNA". It matches the Rfam family "Bacterial small subunit ribosomal RNA", at positions 525 to 775 of the family's 1533-position model. The record is from RNAcentral.